CGUCGCAAAAAAACCCUAGCCCAUUCCCGUCCGCAUCCCUGCUGCCGCCGCCGCCGCCCUUCCAAUUCCCUCUGCUCCUGCUGCUUCCCUCCACCUCUCCCUCAUCCACGCCGUCAGGGGCGCCCCUCAAGCCCCACCUCGUCGGUUCCCCACCUGGGCUCCUUCUCCCCCACCCCGGGCGAGCACCGGACAGGCAGAGGGAGUGCCUUGGUCGAGGGACAACGAGGCUCGCCGGCUGGGCGACUUCGAGCGCUGGAGGCUAGACAGGCAGAGGCAGGGGCGGAUCCAUGUGGGGGCAUGGGUGCCGUCGCGCCAUCAAAGGCCUCCACGGCGCCCUCUACCAGGUCACCUCUCUCCAAGAUCUCCUUUUUACCCAUGUUUUUACCACUCUCCAAGCUCGCACUAUUGCUCCGGAAAAUUCCCUUUGGAAUUGGGGAUGAGGCAAAUCGAUUUCGAUUGAUUGGCGCCACGCAGACGACGGGCGUGGGACGGUGCAGGAGGCGUGCCGCGUUUGAGAGCCACUGUGGAUUAUCUUCGAGGUGUCAGGCGACAUUCGCCUCGAGACCUACCUCCGGGUCUCUUCCCACAUGACCAUUGACGGGCGCGGGUAGCGGGUCAGGCUCACCGACAAGGCGCCGCUUGCCUCUGAACUUGUGAUGUCCGGCCAUUGCAUCUGGGAGGAGCUCCUCUUCAGGAAGAAUGCCGAGACGUACGACACUGCUGCGACUGUCGUUCUCGUCCGCGUUUUGACUACACUUCCAGGCAACUGCGAAGGCAAAAUCUACAUGUGAGAAGUGCAGAUGAGCCCCGCUGUGCUAAUUACCCGUAUUCUGAAUUGGCUGCUGAAGUACAUAAGUGAAGUCUAUUGGUGAAGGAGAUGUGAAGAAUGAUAUAGAGCAAGUAGAUAAAAACCGCAGUUGUUGGCCCAAGGUAGGCUCCUUCACUCAGAGUAUAUGUUGGGACGGUUUCUUGUUCGACAUCAAUUUCUGGUUGGAGAUUGAACUGUAUUCCAGUUUGAUUAUGUGAUUACAUCAAAUUUGUGCAUAUUAACUGAAAUGUGUAAUGCUACAAAGUAGAUAGGUUUUCCUAGCAUUUUACCACGGGGCGUCUCUUUUGUUUGUUUUCUGCCCCUUGUCUUGUACAUUCUCCAUUUAAUGACAUAUGGAUGGCUAACCAACCAUUUUUGUUUGUUUAUAACAGUUUUACAUGAGUAUUCCUACAUAUAGGAUAAUACCCUUCUGGUGCUAAUCAAGGAUUUGAUAUUCCGUUAGCUUUGGUUAACCUGCCUGAGUUAGUGCCUACACGAGGAGCUGAACAAAAAUGCAAUGGGGGGAGCCCAUCUUAGAAUUGUUUUCCCUUUUCUCGCAAUAGCUUUCAUUUUGCAGUAUAUUAGCUAAUUCUGCGCAGGAUGAUUACAUAUGCAACAUUUGUAAAGGAGUAGACUUGUUAAAAGUUUCAACUAAUAUUAUAUGAUGCCUGCUGGAUUAUUUUCUUGUCAAACUGAAAUUUAAAUGUCCCAAUACUAUGUUCUAUUCCAAUUUCAAACUAAUUUCCUUGUUGUGGGUUGCAUACACGAACUGUAAUGCAUUUCAUUUGUGUUAAAUAAUACGAGUACGAAUAAACACUUGCUAAUGGAGCAAACCAGCCAAGUGAAUGCUUCUUGUUAUAACCAGUUCAUCCAAUGGAGCGUGCAUACCGGUUACAUGCAUAUCCAUGUUCCAUACACAAUGCAAAGCAAGACUGCAAACACACUAACAAAUCCGAC
RNAcentral lists this ribosomal RNA (1765 nucleotides) under Triticum aestivum (bread wheat). Its description in RNAcentral is "partial small subunit ribosomal RNA". The record is from RNAcentral. Lineage: Eukaryota; Viridiplantae; Streptophyta; Magnoliopsida; Poales; Poaceae.